This 317-nucleotide ribosomal RNA is filed under the name Dendropsophus carnifex (executioner treefrog). RNAcentral describes it as "partial 12S small subunit ribosomal RNA". The record is from RNAcentral. Lineage: Eukaryota; Metazoa; Chordata; Amphibia; Anura; Hylidae.
AGUGCCAGGUUAAAGAGGGCAUUUUGAUCUCUCUUUACUUCUAAAUCCGCCUUCUGACUAGGUUUCAUAGGUAGUCUUUCGUGUAAUCUAAUUUAGAUAGUGUAGCCCAUCUCUUCCCAUCUUAUAUGCUGCACCUUGACCUGACGUAUUGGCGCUGGGGCAUUUAGCUCACUAAUUGGCGCUCACGAGGUAAGCUGACGACGGAGGUAUACAGGCUGAGUAGCUAAAGAUGGUGAGGUUAAGCGAGGGUUAUCGAUUGUAGGACAGGCUCCUCUAGGUGGAUAUGGGGUACCGUCAAGUCCUUUGGGUUUUAAGCU